RNAcentral lists this ribosomal RNA (253 nucleotides) under uncultured bacterium. RNAcentral describes it as "partial 16S ribosomal RNA". It matches the Rfam family "Bacterial small subunit ribosomal RNA", at positions 524 to 776 of the family's 1533-position model. The record is from RNAcentral.
UACGUAGGGUCCGAGCGUUGUCCGGAAUUACUGGGCGUAAGGAGCUCGUAGGUGGUUUGUCGCGUUGUUCGUGAAAACUCACAGCUUAACUGUGGGCGUGCGGGCGAUACGGGCAGACUGGAGUACUGCAGGGGAGACUGGAAUUCCUGGUGUAGCGGUGGAAUGCGCAGAUAUCAGGAGGAACACCGGUGGCGAAGGCGGGUCUCUGGGCAGUAACUGACGCUGAGGAGCGAAAGCGUGGGGAGCGAACGGG